UUGCCGCCGGCAGGUCUUAUACGGCCAGCUCCUACCGAAUCUCCCCAGGGUCGGAAGACAGCAAGGAUAGGUGGUUGUAGCGGCGCGAUGUGAGUAGCCUGCCUUUUU
Non-coding RNA from Niabella soli DSM 19437, 108 nucleotides. It matches the Rfam family "Bacteroidales small SRP". Rfam says of the family: The non-coding component of the signal recognition particle in Bacteroides Lineage: Bacteria; Pseudomonadati; Bacteroidota; Chitinophagia; Chitinophagales; Chitinophagaceae. The record is from Rfam.